GUGCUCAAUUUCACAGCAUAUAUACUACAACUCGAUCAAUAAACAGAAUAUUAGCAUAGCCCAUGUGCAAGAAUGGCAGGAAAAUCAAUAAAGCAUUCCAUAUUUUU
This is a small nuclear RNA of Cavia aperea (Brazilian guinea pig), 107 nucleotides long. Lineage: Eukaryota; Metazoa; Chordata; Mammalia; Rodentia; Caviidae. The record is from Ensembl.